UGGCACACUCCAGCUCCAUGGGGACAGAAAGCCCAGCACUCAGGACUCUUCCAGACCUCAACCUAUUUGGCUGCAACUUCCAUUUCAUUUGCAGACCUGAGCAGAAUGCUGCUUUGUCUAUAAUUAAAAGAAACAUCCCAUUGAAAAGAUUCAGUUACCUACUGUCAACCAAGGUCAGAAAAUAGGCAUAGCGCUAGCCAUGGAGACCAUAGUGGUGGGCAACGCAGACACGACCCUGUCGUCACAAAACUUAAAGUUUAAAGAAGACAGACUAAUAAAAUAAUCACAGAAACGAAUAUCUGCUGCGAAGCAGUAGGAAGUGCCCUGCGGUCUGUUUCCCCUAGCAGAGACUGGCCUUGUGGCGGAAGACCCCCGCGCGUAGGGAGGGCCGGUGCGGCGACUCCGGGCGGGGCGCG
RNAcentral lists this long non-coding RNA (416 nucleotides) under Homo sapiens (human). Its description in RNAcentral is "HSALNT0372062". The record is from RNAcentral. Lineage: Eukaryota; Metazoa; Chordata; Mammalia; Primates; Hominidae.